This 5863-nucleotide long non-coding RNA is filed under the name Sus scrofa (pig). Its description in RNAcentral is "lncRNA (ENSSSCG00045016842.1)". Lineage: Eukaryota; Metazoa; Chordata; Mammalia; Artiodactyla; Suidae. The record is from RNAcentral.
UGAGGGGGAGGCCUCUGCCCCCAGAGCUGCCCUUCCCGGGCUCUCGGAGAGGAUGCUUUAUCACUGACCCGGUGACUAUUUCUGGGCAGUUUAAAUCCUAGAUAGUGGCAUCUGCAAAACCUUGAUAUCCUAUUAAUGACUGAACGCGGAUUUCAGUCUGGUUAGCCAGUGAUCCAGCCUGUAUCUGCGGGUGGCACCUGCUCAGCCUGCAUGCCUGAGGCUCUGAGCAGACCAGUCCCCAAGACACCCAGCCUGCCCAGGGAAGAUGGGCUGCGUGGCAGCUGUAACAGUACCAGGAGCUUGUUUUGCAACUACAGAGAAUACCUGGAGUGGCCCCACUAGGCCGGCCCUCAUGGCAUCCUCAUCACACAGGCAGGGACCCCGAGGCCUGCCUCCCCUCAAAGCUGGUGCUCGGGACGCCGGCAUCUCUGGUCAUCCACUCCCUGGGUGCUCACCUGCAGUCAGACCUAUCAGAACAGGAGUCUUAGCAUUAAACGGAGGAGGCAGGUGGGCAUCAGUGCCGGGGGCGGCAAUGCCAGUGGGCCGCCCGCCUCCCCCUCCCCGCCGCCUCCUGUUCCCGCCCCUCGGAUUUCUGACAGCUCUGGGAACCUGUGAGAGGAGCCUUUGCCUGUAGCUUUCCAGUGGGAGAUUUCCAGUCCAGUAGUCUGGUUUCUUCCAAGGCAGCAACCCAUCAGCCACCUGCCUGAUGGGAGUUAUUGUGAGGACGGAGUUUGUGUGUGGAAAGUGUAGACGGUGCCUGGUACUUUGCGGGUGCAGCCGGAGUGAUUAUUUUAUUAUUAACGUGCAUGGUUGAUAGGUAGGUGGUGUUUCAUUUCAUCUCCCAGGCAGCCUGGAAGGCAGGUGGUUGUGGCCUCUCUUGCCUGCAGCUGGUGAUUCUGACCCAGUGUUUUCGGGCUGCGAAGCUCUUACCACCCGGGAGAUUGUGAGCAGUCAUUUCCACUGACCCGACCCUGAACUUCUCCAUCCACUGCUUAAACCUCUGCACAGCUUCCUCUUCUAGCACUGAGCUCAGCAGGACCCUGCUGAGUUAGGAUCUGCUCUGAAGUCAUUGCUGUUUAGCAUUAUUUGGGUGUACUGUCCCCGAGGUUUCCAUAGGAUUCAGACAGAGGACUUAUUAUGGCUACCAAGUGAAAUAGCUUUAGUUAAAAAGUUAGGGUUAUGGAGUCCCUUUGUGGUGCAGCAGGUUAAGGAUCUGGCAUUGUCACUGCAGCGGCUUGGGUUGCCCCUGUGGCAAGGGUUUGGUCCGUGGUUCGGGGAAUUUCCGCAUGCCGUCGGCGAGGUCAAAAAAGGUUAAAAAAAAUUAGGGUUAUAUAAGAUGCUUUUGCACAUAUCCUUUCUGCUGGGGUUGGGGACUAGCAAGCAGCCUCCCAUUGGAAUCGAGCUUUUCCUGGUGGAACCAAGCACCGUCUUCCCUUCUCAGUCGCUACCGUGACAGGUAGACAGGUCAGGUCUGGCUUGCUCACCUGUGAUGCUGCUGCUCAAGUCUUCUCCAUUAUGAGGCUUUGGCCCUGGAAGGUUGUACCUGAUUUCACUGUGCGGGCCUGGGGCUGUGCACCCAAGACAGCAGUGGCCACGCCCGGCCGCUUCAGGUGCUUUGCUCUCUGAGAGGUUCUGAUGGUGCUGUCCUUGUUCUGUCCUUGCUCGUCCUCGUGUAUCCUCCUCUAGACAGCUCCUGUCUCGAAAGCUCCUUCGCCGCAGGGCGUGCGGAGCUCUGCUCAUCCUGGGAUCUGAGGCCUCUGCCUUGGUCUCGAGGAACAGGAAGUGGAGGUGCCCUGAGACAGCAGACUCUCCCCCUGGACUCCAGGACGCAGGGCCACUGCCCCCCUCCCCCAUAUCAGCUGGAUUCGCGGUCACCACCUCGUAUCCUCUCCACCCGAGCCCGAGGAGGUCUGUGUCCUCGAGAGCAGGUGAGGAAAGGGUUAGUGACUUGCCCAAGGGCGCCUGGCUGCUUGGCGGCAGAAUCGGCAUCCCCAGCCAGCUCCACCUCACUCCUGCCCCUCUAGGUAUCAGGUCCCACCGUGGUGACUGAAGAGGUCUGGGUUUGGGUGAGAAGCUGGAAGGGUUUUUUGGUCCGGGUUAUUGAAAAUGAAAGACGCUGGAACUUUCUGAGCCGUGGUCUGUUUUUAGAAAGAUGCUUGCUAAACCUGCGCAUGUCAGCGGAGUCUUGGCGACCGCCACCGGAGGGCUGCUCCUUGGCAUUCCGGUCAGCCUUGUUGUUCUUUGUCUACAUCCUGGUGGUUGUGACAGCCCCUCAUUGACGAAACUGCCCGGGUGCCCUGGCCUUCUUCCCGUGCAGCCGCCGUCCCAGCCUGCGCACCACGGUCAGUGUCAGGUUGCAUGGGGACCUGGGGGCAGAGACCUUGAGCAGGGUGAGCUGGUUACCCUCAUGAUGCCUGCUAAAUUCUGUUCCUUAUCCUCGGAGGGAGGAAAGACGAAGGAUCUGUCCCCUGCUCAGAGCUGUGGGUACUGUCCCCCUGUGACACUGUCCCUGACCUGCAGGCUGUGGCUCCACUAUGUUGAAUGAGUGCAUGUCUAGUGGGUCCUUAAUAAAGAUAGGCAACCACCUCCCAGUAGAUUGAAUCAAAUGAAAUUGCAGUUCUCCUAGGUCAAAAAUGGCUGAAUACCAGCAUUUUGUAAUACAGACUAAACACUAGGGUGGGGAGGUUCCAGAAUGAGCCUUUGGACUUGAGCCCUUGGCCAGAUCUGGCUUCUUAGGACAUGAGUGUUGGGCUUCUGGUCAGUUGGUGUCACUCUAGUCAGUUUAAGUCACUUUAAGGGGUGGGGGGUGACAAGAAUGGAAGGAGUCUGCCCCUGGAUUUCAGUUAUCACUCUGCUGCUGGCCAGGCUACUCCUGGCACUGAAGGCAAUCUGGAGGCGCUGGCAGUGGUAGGAUCAGGGCCUGGUAGGAAUAGGGGUCCUGAUUGCACCGUUCGCUGUUUGCUGUUGGCUCAGCACGUCGUGGGCGCUGAGUACCUGGCCCAAGGUCACACAACUGGCCGUCCUUGGAGUUGAAGGCAGUCUUCUUUUUUGGGGGGCGGGGCGGGGGCGCUGUGCUCACAGUAUGUGGAAGUUUCUGUGCCAAGGAUUCAACUCACACCACAGCAGUGACAAUGCCAGAUCCUUAAACUGCUGGGCCACCAGGGAACUCCCUUGAAGGUAGUCUUGAUUCCAAAGUCCAGGGCAGUGAAGGGCAGGUUCUGGAGCCUGACUGCCUUGGUUUGGGUCCAAACCUCCUGCCUUGGGUCCCCUCCUUCUCUCCCCGCCUCAGUUUCCUUGUCUCACAGUGUAAUGGUGGGAAUAAGAGUAUCUAUUUCUGAUGGAUUUUAUGAAGAUUAAAUGAGUUAAUACAUGCCAAGCCAGAGAAUAACAUUAACCACUGUUAUUAAUAAUACUAUGUUAUUAUCAGUGACAUGAACUCCUGGCAUAUUAUUACAGCCGAAAGAAACAUGUAAAUUCCGUCUGCUUUGUGUUGGAAGGAGUUUGGACUUUGUGUCAAAGUCGGGCUCACAGAGAUGGCGUUGCUUCUCCCAUAGCUCACGGGAAAUGAACCCUCGUCAGUGUGGGCCUUGCGGAGUGUGCACCUGCCUCUCCGUGAACAAAUUGCUUGAAAUGGUGUUUUUGUUCCAGGUUAUAAUAAAAGUCACUCUUCUGGAAAAUGGCUUAAUUUUUUUUUCUUCUUUCUUGGCAUGAGUGGCCACCCCUCGAGUGCCAGUUAUAUAUGUAUGGUGCCCAGAGCUUUUGAGGGGAGCAGGACGUGGUGCUAAUCGUUGAUCCCCCCCCCCCCAUUUUUCCUCUUCUGAAGGUGCAGGUUUUCGUAGGGGCUCUCAGCUGCUACUGGUAGCAGUGUUCGUUUGUGAACUGCUACAGACCUGCCAGACCUCACUGCCUUGGGAAUUUCAUGCUUUAGUGGAAGGACAUGUGUUUGAUUCUUAGGCUUGUAUAGUGUUGGGGUUUAGGGGUGUAGGAAGAAGGCAAGAUAAAAAAACAUGGAAGGAGCAAUGGUUGCUGGAAGGCAGCCUGGCGUGGUACAGUGGCAGGAGACUCCUGGAUCUGGCUGCCUAGGGACUGUUUGAGCUUGAACUACCUGCUUCGUCUCUCUGAGCCUCAACUUCCUCAUCAGUAAAAUGGACAUAAUAUCCUCCCCUCCACAGAGGAUUAAAUAAGAAUGAUAUAUAUAUGAAGUGCUUUAGCUCAGGCCUCACAUGUGGGUUCCUCAUUAUGUACAGGAAUUUCAUCAUUGGUCUUGCAAUUUAGCGCCAUUCCCCAGAAAAGAGAAUUGAAUUAAGGAUACUGUAAAUCUGAAGUGCAGGUGUCAUGGUGACACUGAGGAGAGGCCCCCCUGAACUCCAGCUUCCCAGGUGCUUGCUCUUGACUUAGAGGAUUUAUCACGCAAGGGGACUUGUGUGGGGCAGGUCCCUCUGUGCUGAACGUCAUAGGCACCAUCUCGUAAUCUUGCCCAUAGCCUUGGUCAUGCUCCCAUUUUGCAGGUGUGAAAACGGAGGCCUAGGAGGUUAAGAGGUAUCUCGCAGAGGGUCACACAGCUAGUAAGGGACAGAAGUGGCCUUUAAACUUGGCCCUGAUUCCAAAAUCCAGCUCUCAGUACACACUGGAGUCUGGUCUAAGGAUGCAUGUUCUUUUUUUCUCUUUUUCAAGUUUUAUAGAUGUGUAAUUGAUUGACAGUGCUGUGCGUUUUCGUGUACAGAAGAACGUACUCUAUGCUGAUGGUUCUAACAGAGGUUCUUUAGCACUUUUAAAACUCUUUGCAGCUCGAAGCUUCCUGCUAGGCGGCUGCCUCAGGUUUGGCUCCAAUGCGUCGGAGCCCAUCUUCAGAUGGGACAGGAGUGAACGUGUGGUGGAAGCAGUUCUUCGCUCACAAGGGAGCCUUGUGUCCCACGUAGACUUCUGACCCACAGAGAGUGGAAGCACUUUUGAGGCCCGAGGACUGUAGAGUCUUUAUUCCUCCCCGCACCAUCUGCUCUGCUUUGUGCAGAUCCAGGCAGACUCUAAAAUGAUGCAGCAUAAGCUGUCAGUGACCAGGCUAGUGUUGAAACUGGGGACUGGUUCCUGACUAUGUCAUACUGUGGCUGGGGCCAGAAAUGAGCGGAGAGGCCAUAGUUACUGCCCUGCUCCAUAACCAGUGAUACUGGUCAUUGCAGCCCCAAAGGGUAAAACCAAACAAAGGUACUGAGUGAGGUUCUUGUCCUCGGAGAGAUGAGAGUGCGGGGCUCUAGGUGGCACCACCUAUAUCUGCAAGAUGGGCAGGGGUCUCCUGCCCUCUGUUACUUGUCACUUCGUUUGGCACUGGGCCCUAUUCCUGGGGAAUAGGUCUAGUCUUCCCAGUUACUUAACCACUUGGCUUUCUUCCUUCCUUCCUUUAAAUAACCUCCUUCCUCCAGGGGCAUUUAUCUAACUGCUAGCUGGAAUUCCCUUGUCCUUUUGCCUCCUCUAAAACGGGCUUUGUAAGGCCUUUGUGUCGAUGGACUAUUGACUUCCCUCCUCUCCCCUCCCCUCCCUUCCCCGCCUGUGACAUCCAGAGGUUCUCAGGCCAGGGAUUGAAUCUGUGCCACAGCAUCGACAAUACCAGAUCCCUAAUCUGCUGCGCCACAAGGGACUUCCUUUUUUUUUUUUUUUCUCUGUAAAGAAUGAUAUUGGAGAGUGGUGCAGUGGGUUAAGGAUCCGGCGAUGUCUCUGCUGCAGCUUGGGUUUGAUCCUUGGCCUGGUGCAGUGGUUUAAGGAUAUCCAGCGUGGCUGCAGCUGCAGCUUGGAUUCGAUCCCUGGCCUGGGAACUUCCAUGUGCCGCAGGUGUGGCCUUGGGGGAGGGGGGGAGAAUGAGAUUGAACUU